GCCUACGGGGGGCAGCAGUGAGGAAUAUUGGUCAAUGGGCGAGAGCCUGAACCAGCCAAGUCGCGUGAGGGAAGACGGUCCUAUGGAUUGUAAACCUCUUUUGCCGGGGAGCAAAAAGCGGUACGUGUACCGCAUCGAGAGUACCCGGAGAAAAAGCAUCGGCUAACUCCGUGCCAGCAGCCGCGGUAAUACGGAGGAUGCGAGCGUUAUCCGGAUUUAUUGGGUUUAAAGGGUGCGCAGGCGGCGAGUUAAGUCAGCGGUAAAAUUUCGGGGCUCAACCCUGACGAGCCGUUGAAACUGGCUUG
RNAcentral lists this ribosomal RNA (305 nucleotides) under uncultured bacterium. RNAcentral describes it as "bacterial SSU rRNA". It matches the Rfam family "Bacterial small subunit ribosomal RNA", at positions 337 to 640 of the family's 1533-position model. The record is from RNAcentral.